UGAAUCCGGGUCGCGGACAGUGCCUGGUGGGUAGUUUGACUGGGGCGGUCUCCUCCCAAAGAGUAACGGAGGAGCACGAAGGUUGGCUAAUCCUGGUCGGACAUCAGGAGGUUAGUGCAAUGGCAUAAGCCAGCUUAACUGCGAGACGGACAGGUCGAGCAGGUACGAAAGUAGGUCAUAGUGAUCCGGUGGUUCUGAAUGGAAGGGCCAUCGCUCAACGGAUAAAAGGUACUCCGGGGAUAACAGGCUGAUACCGCCCAAGAGUUCAUAUCGACGGCGGUGUUUGGCACCUCGAUGUCGGCUCAUCACAUCCUGGGGCUGAAGUCGGUCCCAAGGGUAUGGCUGUUCGCCAUUUAAAGUGGUACGCGAGCUGGGUUCAGAACGUCGUGAGACAGUUCGGUCCCUAUCUGCCGUGGGCGUUGGAUGAUUGAAGGGAGUUGCUCCUAGUACGAGAGGACCGGAGUGAACGAACCUCUGGUGUUCGGGUUGUCACGCCAGUGGCACUGCCCGGUAGCUAAGUUCGGAAUCGAUAACCGCUGAAAGCAUCUAAGCGGGAAGCGAGCCCUGAGAUGAGUCAUCCCUGACCCCUUGAGGGUCCUAAAGGGCCGUUGGAGACCACAACGUUGAUAGGUGGGGUGUGUAAGCGCGGCGACGUGUUGAGCUAACCCAUACUAAUUACCCGUGAGGCUUAACC
This 694-nucleotide ribosomal RNA is filed under the name Aeromonas hydrophila. Its description in RNAcentral is "partial 23S ribosomal RNA". It matches the Rfam family "Bacterial large subunit ribosomal RNA", at positions 2236 to 2925 of the family's 2925-position model. Lineage: Bacteria; Pseudomonadati; Pseudomonadota; Gammaproteobacteria; Aeromonadales; Aeromonadaceae. The record is from RNAcentral.